AAGUAGUGAAGUAAAAUUACAUUUAGUUUCGACCUAAAAAUAGAGUUAUAUAUAACUCCUUACUUU
RNAcentral lists this transfer RNA (66 nucleotides) under Asclepios apicalis. RNAcentral's name for it is "tRNA-Arg". Lineage: Eukaryota; Metazoa; Arthropoda; Insecta; Hemiptera; Gerridae. The record is from RNAcentral.